ACUCCUACGGGAGGCAGCAGUGGGGAAUAUUGCACAAUGGGCGCAAGCCUGAUGCAGCCAUGCCGCGUGUAUGAAGAAGGCCUUCGGGUUGUAAAGUACUUUCAGCAGUGAGGAAGGUGGUAGUGUUAAUAGCACUAUCAUUUGACGUUAGCUGCAGAAGAAGCACCGGCUAACUCCGUGCCAGCAGCCGCGGUAAUACGGAGGGUGCGAGCGUUAAUCGGAAUUACUGGGCGUAAAGCGCAUGCAGGUGGUUUGUUAAGUCAGAUGUGAAAGCCCGGGGCUCAACCUCGGAAUUGCAUUUGAAACUGGCAGACUAGAGUACUGGUAGAGGGGGGUUAGAAUUUCAGGUGUAGCGGUGAAAUGCGUAGAGAUCUGAA
This 377-nucleotide ribosomal RNA is filed under the name uncultured bacterium. RNAcentral describes it as "bacterial SSU rRNA". It matches the Rfam family "Bacterial small subunit ribosomal RNA", at positions 335 to 702 of the family's 1533-position model. The record is from RNAcentral.